Molecule: ribosomal RNA, 399 nt
Filed under: uncultured bacterium
Lineage: Bacteria
Description: bacterial SSU rRNA
Rfam family: Bacterial small subunit ribosomal RNA
Source: RNAcentral
UAGGGAAUAUUAGAAAUGGACGAAAGUCUGAUCUAGCAACACCGCGUGUGCGAAGAAGGCCUUCGGGUUGUAAAGCACUUUUUGGAAGGAUUAGGAAGGAAUGUACUUCCAGAAUAAGUCUCGGCUAACUACGUGCCAGCAGCCGCGGUAACACGUAGGAGGCAAACGUUAUCCGGAUUUACUGGGCGUAAAGCGCGUGUAGGUGGUUCUGUAAGUAGGGCGUGAAAGCUCCUGGCUCAACUGGGAGAGGCCGUUCUAAACUGCAGAGCUAGAGGAUGGUAGAGGGAGGUGGAAUUCCGGGUGUAGCGGUGGAAUGCGCAGAUAUCCGGAGGAACACCAGUGGCGAAAGCGGCCUCCUGGACCAUUCCUGACACUCAGACGCGAAAGCUAGGGUAGCAA